This 62-nucleotide microRNA precursor is filed under the name Tupaia belangeri chinensis (Chinese tree shrew). RNAcentral describes it as "Tupaia chinensis (Chinese tree shrew) microRNA tch-mir-186 precursor". Its record names the gene tch-mir-186. It matches the Rfam family "mir-186 microRNA precursor family", at positions 14 to 75 of the family's 82-position model. Lineage: Eukaryota; Metazoa; Chordata; Mammalia; Scandentia; Tupaiidae. The record is from miRBase by way of RNAcentral.
CAAAGAAUUCUCCUUUUGGGCUUUCUGGUUUCGUUUUAAGCCCAAAGGUGAAUUUUUUGGGA